RNAcentral lists this long non-coding RNA (316 nucleotides) under Lathyrus oleraceus (garden pea). Its description in RNAcentral is "Pisum sativum (pea) long non-coding RNA (PSAT_LNC039474)". Lineage: Eukaryota; Viridiplantae; Streptophyta; Magnoliopsida; Fabales; Fabaceae. The record is from RNAcentral.
UGGAGGUGGGGAUAACCCAUUUCCUCUUUGGUCCUGGGUUCGAUACCUAGGGGUGUUGUUUUGGUUUUCUUUUAACGUUUUUUCAUUUUUUUCAUAUUUUCUUUAAUUCUCAUAUCUGAUUAUGUGGUCUUGCUACUUAACUAACAUGUUUCUAUGGUUUGUUCAUUUUUAUUAUGUUAUUUUCAACAUGACUUAUGUGAUUAUUCAUUUUUAGGGAUUAUUAUAUUGUGUGUUGGUUCAUUCAUUUGUACAAAUUAUUUGCCUUUAUGUGUGAGUUGUGUCACAAUCAUGAUAAAUCAUCUCAAUCUCAUUGAUA